ACCUUAUCCAGAGACGGUGGAGGGACUGGCCCGAUGAAACCCAGCAACCGACACAUAGCCGCUAACCUGGCAUGUGCACGGUGCUAAUUCCUGCAGAGACAUGUAAAAUUCUGGUAGAUAAGGG
RNAcentral lists this non-coding RNA (124 nucleotides) under Brevibacillus laterosporus. Its description in RNAcentral is "SAM-I sequence". It matches the Rfam family "SAM riboswitch aptamer (S box leader)". Rfam says of the family: The SAM riboswitch is found upstream of a number of genes which code for proteins involved in methionine or cysteine biosynthesis in Gram-positive bacteria. The SAM riboswitch acts at the level of transcription termination control. The predicted structure consists of a complex stem-loop region followed by a single stem loop terminator region. RNAcentral also lists the same sequence under 1 other name. Lineage: Bacteria; Bacillati; Bacillota; Bacilli; Caryophanales; Paenibacillaceae. The record is from RNAcentral.